GGCGUCAAUGCACACGCCAUCAUUUCGGCAGUCUGCGCUAUGUGCGAAAGCAUAUACGUGACUGUCAAGUUUACCUUAAAUAAAUUAAAAUGCUCAAAAUAAGCGUAUGCUUGAAUAUCAUAUUAUGGAAUAAUGAAAUAGGACUUCGGUUCUUUUUGUUGGUUAUUGAAUCGGAGUAAUGAUUAAUAGGGAUAAUCUCGGGGGCAUUCGUAUUUCUGCGGGAGAGGUGAAAUUCUAUGAUCGCAGAAGGACGCCCUAAAGCGAAAGCAUUUGCCAAGAAUGUCUUCGUUAAUCAAGAACGAAAGUCAGAGGAUCGAAGGCGAUUAGAUACCGCCCUAGUUCUGACCGUAAACGAUACCAUCUAGCGAUCCGAUAGGGUCUAUCUAGCCUUGUCGGGGAGCUUCCCGGAAACGAAAGUCUUUCGGUUCCGGGGGUAGUAUGGUUGCAAAGCUGAAACUUAAAGAAAUUGACGGAAGGGCACCACCAGGAGUGGAGCUUGCGGCUUAAUUUGACUCAACACGGGAAAACUCACCCGGUCCGGACACCGUAAGGAUUGACAGACUGAUAGCUCUUUCUUGAUUCGGUGGUUGGUGGUGCAUGGCCGUUCUUAGUUGGUGGAGUAAUUUGUCUGGUUUAUUCCGAUAACGAGCGAGACUCUAGCCUGCUAAAUAGAACGAGGAUAAACCUUUUCAUAGGUCCUCGAUGCUUCUUAGAGGAAUUAGCGG
This 725-nucleotide ribosomal RNA is filed under the name uncultured eukaryote. RNAcentral's name for it is "SSU rRNA". It matches the Rfam family "Eukaryotic small subunit ribosomal RNA", at positions 682 to 1426 of the family's 1831-position model. The record is from RNAcentral.